RNAcentral lists this ribosomal RNA (460 nucleotides) under uncultured bacterium. RNAcentral's name for it is "partial 16S ribosomal RNA". It matches the Rfam family "Bacterial small subunit ribosomal RNA", at positions 338 to 795 of the family's 1533-position model. The record is from RNAcentral.
CCUACGGGUGGCUGCAGUGAGGAAUAUUGGUCAAUGGACGAGAGUCUGAACCAGCCAAGUAGCGUGAAGGAUGACUGCCCUAUGGGUUGUAAACUUCUUUUAUAUGGGAAUAAAACGUUCCACGUGUGGGAUUUUGUAUGUACCAUAUGAAUAAGGAUCGGCUAACCCCGUGCCAGCAGCCGCGGUAAUACGGAGGGUCCGAGCGUUAUCCGGAUUUAUUGGGUUUAAAGUGAACGUAGGUGGGUUGUUAAGUCAGUUGUGAAAGUUUGCGGGUGAACCGUAAAAUUGCAGUUGAAACUGGCAGUCUUGAGUACAGUAGAGGUGGGCGGAAGUCGAGGUGUAGCGGUGAAAUGCUUAGAUAUCACGAAGAACUCCGAUUGCGAAGGCAGUUCACUGGACUGCAACUGACACUGAGGCUCGAAAGUGUGGGUAUCAAACAGGAUUAGAUACCCCAGUAGUC